Molecule: ribosomal RNA, 934 nt
Filed under: Inocybe caerulata
Lineage: Eukaryota; Fungi; Basidiomycota; Agaricomycetes; Agaricales; Inocybaceae
Description: eukaryotic LSU rRNA
Rfam family: Eukaryotic large subunit ribosomal RNA
Source: RNAcentral
AGCAUAUCAAUAAGCGGAGGAAAAGAAACUAACAAGGAUUCCCCUAGUAACUGCGAGUGAAGCGGGAAGAGCUCAAAUUUUAAAUCUGGCGGUUCUUGAUCGUCCGAGUUGUAAUCUAGAGAAGUGUUACCUGUGCUGGACCGUGUACAAGUCUCCUGGAAUGGAGCAUCAUAGAGGGUGAGAAUCCCGUCUUUGACAUGGACUACCAGUACAUUAUGGUGCACCCUCGAAGAGUCGAGUUGUUUGGGAAUGCAGCUCAAAAUGGGUGGUAAAUGCCAUCUAAAGCUAAAUAUUGGCGAGAGACCGAUAGCGAACAAGUACCGUGAGGGAAAGAUGAAAAGAACUUUGGAAAGAGAGUUAAACAGUACGUGAAAUUGCUGAAAGGGAAACGCUUGAAGUCAGUCACGUUGGCUGGAAAUCAGCCUUGCUUUUGCUUGGUGUACUUUCUGGUUUGACGGGUCAGCAUCAAUUUUGACCACUGGAUAAAGUCUCUGGGAAUGUGGCAUCUCUGGAUGUGUUAUAGCCCUAGGUCGCAUACAGUGGUUGGGAUUGAGGAACUCAGCACGCCGCAAGGCCAGGUUUCGACCAUGUUCGUGCUUAGGAUGCUGGCAUAAUGGCUUUAAUCGACCCGUCUUGAAACACGGACCAAGGAGUCUAACAUGCCUGCGAGUGUUUGGGUGGAAAACCCAUGCGCGUAAUGAAAGUGAAAGUUGAGAUCCCAUUCAGGGAGCAUUGACGCCCAGACCAGACCUUUUGUGACGGAUCUGCGGUAGAGCAUGUAUGUUGGGACCCGAAAGAUGGUGAACUAUGCCUGAAUAGGGUGAAGCCAGAGGAAACUCUGGUGGAGGCUCGUAGCGAUUCUGACGUGCAAAUCGAUCGUCAAAUUUGGGUAUAGGGGCGAAAGACUAAUCGAACCAUCUAGUAGCUGGUUCCU